This 885-nucleotide ribosomal RNA is filed under the name Triticum aestivum (bread wheat). Its description in RNAcentral is "partial small subunit ribosomal RNA". The record is from RNAcentral. Lineage: Eukaryota; Viridiplantae; Streptophyta; Magnoliopsida; Poales; Poaceae.
AUGUCUACCCCAAGUCUAGUGCUGCUGCUGCUGUCCCCGGCCUUGGCUGUAGGCGUGCCCGGUGCAAUCCUUCUGUGGUCAAAGACGAGUGGCCCCGCCAGAAAUUUCGUUGUUGCCCCGCCGAGCGCAUUCGUGGCAUUUCACGUGUGUGGUCGUGCGUGGCGUGGUGUGGAUCAUACCUGGCCAAACGGGCCGGCCCGACACGGCACGACCCGGCCCAUCGUAAUCGUGCCUGGCCCGGCACGGCUCAUGGUUUACGUCUUAACUGUCUACAACAAAAGGGAUAAGCAGCACUGCAUCCAGAUCCAUGUGCACCGUGAAAUUCCAGAUGGUAUCAGUGUGCCCACAGAACUCCAGAGUGUUGAUGAUUACCCAGACAACCAGUUCACAUUCAGUGUCAAGCACUUGGCUCCAAUAUCACUGACAUGCCUUAUGCCUCCAUCAUACCUGAGCCAUCAUCCUCCAUACUUCUUUCUCAGUGUACAGUGGUUGGAUACUGUGAAGGUCUCAACCCUUUGUCACAUGCUUGAAUUGAUUUGGGCACAUCAGUCUGCACAGGAAGUUGUUUUUGAGUGGGUGCAGGGCUUUACGCUCUCUCAUCUUGGUUUUGAUGGCGGGAUAAUCAUACGCAUGUCUGAUAGUACGAUGGCUCCUGUGGAUGCUCGGGUUGUUGGAGAGAUUCUGUCUGUAGAGGAUGUUGUUCAACGGUUGAUCAACUACGAUGAAGAGCAAUGCCUUGAAACAUUUAUUCGGGGCCUCCAUGUCUGCGCAAUUUGUUUCAGUGAGCACCCAGAUAAUUCAGAUGCUCCAUUUGAUUCUUGGAUACUCUCCCUGCUGCUCAUUUCACAACUACAUCUUCAUUGUAACUUAAAUUUGUUGUUUUGA